RNAcentral lists this RNase P RNA (197 nucleotides) under Prevotella sp. RNAcentral's name for it is "partial RNase P RNA component class A". It matches the Rfam family "Bacterial RNase P class A", at positions 165 to 367 of the family's 367-position model. From Rfam's summary of the family: Ribonuclease P (RNase P) is a ubiquitous endoribonuclease, found in archaea, bacteria and eukarya as well as chloroplasts and mitochondria. Its best characterised activity is the generation of mature 5'-ends of tRNAs by cleaving the 5'-leader elements of precursor-tRNAs. Cellular RNase Ps are ribonucleoproteins. Lineage: Bacteria; Pseudomonadati; Bacteroidota; Bacteroidia; Bacteroidales; Prevotellaceae. The record is from RNAcentral.
GUGUAAGAGACUACCGCCCUGCUGGUAACAGCAGGGGCAGAUGUAAACCCCAUCCGAAGCAAGACCGAGCAGAGAACGAUACGGUUGCCCGCCGUGUUUUCGGGUAGGUCGCUUGAGAGUAUUGGUAACAAUACUACCAGAUAGAUGAUUGUCGCGUUUUAUACGUACAGAACCCGGCUUAUAGUGAUACUGACUUU